This 253-nucleotide ribosomal RNA is filed under the name uncultured bacterium. Its description in RNAcentral is "partial 16S ribosomal RNA". It matches the Rfam family "Bacterial small subunit ribosomal RNA", at positions 524 to 776 of the family's 1533-position model. The record is from RNAcentral.
UACGUAGGCAGCGAGCGUUGUUCGGAGUUACUGGGCGUAAAGCGUGCGUAGGCGGUGUCUUAAGUUUGUUGUGAAAUCUCCCGGCUUAACCGGGAGGGUGCGGCGAAUACUGAGAUGCUGGAGUGCCGGAGAGGUAAGCGGAAUUCCUGGUGUAGCGGUGAAAUGCGUAGAUAUCAGGAGGAACACCUGCGGUGUAGACGGCUUACUGGACGGUAACUGACGCUGAGGCACGAAAGCGUGGGGAUCAAACAGG